UACGUAGGGUGCGAGCGUUGUCCGGAAUUAUUGGGCGUAAAGAGCUUGUAGGCGGUUUGUCGCGUCUGCUGUGAAAAUCCGGGGCUCAACCCCGGACUUGCAGUGGGUACGGGCAGACUAGAGUGUGGUAGGGGAGACUGGAAUUCCUGGUGUAGCGGUGAAAUGCGCAGAUAUCAGGAGGAACACCGAUGGCGAAGGCAGGUCUCUGGGCCGAUACUGACGCUGAGAGCGAACGAGCGUGGGGAGCGAACAGG
Molecule: ribosomal RNA, 254 nt
Filed under: uncultured bacterium
Lineage: Bacteria
Description: partial 16S ribosomal RNA
Rfam family: Bacterial small subunit ribosomal RNA
Source: RNAcentral